ACCUAAGGUACUUGGAAAAUCAGAGCAGCCAGAAGGUCGCAAGGCCGGAUUGCUGCUGUGGUUUCCAAGUAUCGAUAAUAGGU
RNAcentral lists this ribosomal RNA (83 nucleotides) under Mesorhizobium ciceri. RNAcentral describes it as "partial 23S ribosomal RNA". The record is from RNAcentral. Lineage: Bacteria; Pseudomonadati; Pseudomonadota; Alphaproteobacteria; Hyphomicrobiales; Phyllobacteriaceae.